This 429-nucleotide long non-coding RNA is filed under the name Lathyrus oleraceus (garden pea). Its description in RNAcentral is "Pisum sativum (pea) long non-coding RNA (PSAT_LNC010749)". Lineage: Eukaryota; Viridiplantae; Streptophyta; Magnoliopsida; Fabales; Fabaceae. The record is from RNAcentral.
AGGAAAUUAAAACCUAUAGCAUUUAUUAUUCACACAAGGUAUUCUAUUUUGACCAAUGAAAAAUAGAGAACAUGUAUAUAAUUUCUUAGAGGGAAAAACAAAAAUAGAGAGAAUCUCUUAAGUGAUCUCUUGUUAUGUGGUUUGAAGGUUCAGAAAAGCUUGAAGCUGAAAAUUGAAGCACAAGGAAAGUACCUAGAUAGAAUUGGACAGAGUAGUCAGAUCAAAACAAUUACAAGAAAAGCAUGCAAGUCUUUUGUGGGUAGAGCUAUACCUCUACCCUCUCUUUCUGAGGAAUCUGAAUCCUUAAAAACACAAUCCGAGGAAGAACAUCAAACAGCCAAAAAGAAAACGAUAACCGAUGAUGAUGAUGACAGUGUUUCUCCUGCAGAUUUUGAACUAGGAUCAUCAUCCACAAUCUCAGAAUUCUGC